Molecule: long non-coding RNA, 1517 nt
Organism: Xenia sp. Carnegie-2017
Lineage: Eukaryota; Metazoa; Cnidaria; Anthozoa; Malacalcyonacea; Xeniidae
Exons: 2
Source: RefSeq, a predicted model, not a curated record
GGUAGUGUUGAUGAUGAUGGCUAUGGAGGUGAUGAUGGUGGUGAUGAUGAAGGGGGUGGUGAUGAUGAUGAUGGUGAUAUUGAAUGUGAUGGUGGGAGUGAUGGUGAUGGUGAUAAUGUGAUAUUUAAAGGUCCACUUAUGAAGACCUUCAUAUGUUUGAAAUUAGACAAAGCUUUAACUGCUGUUGAAUUGGACGAUUGUGAAUACUUCAGAUCAGAGGUCUAAACAGCAAUCCAAUGUCAUCGGAACAAGACCAAACAAUAACACAGAUUUUUACUAAUAUUGACAUGAAAUAAUGAAUGGAUAAUAAUGCUGUAUAGAUAUUUAUAAUUGUAUUGUUUUUAGUUGCUUUAUCUUAUUUCAUAUUCUAUUUUAAAGUUUAUCGUGGAUAUGUUGGAACUAUAGAACAGUUAUAAAAAACAAAGUUAUAUCAUAUCGUCAUUUAUAUAUCACAGUUAAUGCUGUUGAGCAAGAAGUUUCAAAUACCGAGUUUUUCAGGCAGAAUUUGGAUAUCCUACGGAGAGAGAAACUUGCUGUCCAUUACCUUAAACAAUAAACAAUUUAUGGCAACUUUAUCCUGACAACGUCGUUCAGGUAAUAAUGUGGAAUUGUAGAAAUAAAAGUAUUUCAAAGCGGUUACGUGUGAAUUAGAAUUUUCACUGUCAAUUAAAGUAAUACCAAUUCAUCACAAAUGGAAUAGUUAUCAUUUUAAUCGAUUUUUUUAAGAGUUGAAAUUUUAUAGACACUUGAUUUGUCUAGGAUUGCAUCGACAUUCAAGAUAUGGAUGAGACAUCUUUAACCACGAAAAAAGAAUCACCUGAUAUCAAACGAUAUCGUACAUGUCAACGUAUAAAAGACUUCUCAAUUGAGGACGUCUGUUCACUGUUCAGGGACUUUUUAACAAGUUAAAAAUCCAUCAUUUAGUGGAUAGUUCUAUUCCGGGCUUUAGGCACGCCCUGAUAUCCAUAAUAUCCCCCUGCCCCAAAAUGCAACAUACAUAAUGACAACGUCAAAUUUGCAUUUUAAGACACUCUCUGUUAAUGUGAACUGUUUUAACACGGCAGUAUCAUUACAUGUAUAUAGUUGUAGAUAUUCUAGGUUAUCACAUGUAUAUAGAUGUAGAUAUUCUAGGUCAUUACAUGUAUAUAGAUGUAGAUAUUCUAGGUUAGUGUAGUUCUGCGAAGAACUGUUGAUGUUGAUGUUGAUUCUAGUGUGAACUGUAAUGUGAACUCUUUAACAAAGAACAGGUUGAUGGAAAGAUCUUCCAAGAAGACGACGAACAAAUGUUAAAAUAUCACUUCAAAAUGACUUUUUUUCCUUUGGUCAAAUUAAAGAAAGCAAUGAGCGAAAAUUGGAGACACGAAACCCUAGAUGAAAAAGAUAUUGAAGGACCAUAAGUGCAAAAUUAUGUUUUUACUGGUAUGCAUACAAUUCAGAAAUUUUUAUAACUUUUAUAACUUUUAAUAUCAAGAAUUGCGAUGCAAUUGUAAAUAAAUUUCCUUAUAGUUAAAACCAAA